Molecule: non-coding RNA, 346 nt
Organism: Saimiri boliviensis boliviensis (Bolivian squirrel monkey)
Lineage: Eukaryota; Metazoa; Chordata; Mammalia; Primates; Cebidae
Source: RefSeq, a predicted model, not a curated record
GCCGGGUUGCCAGAGAAAACACAGGACAUCCAGUGAAGUCAGGUGCCUCCUGACCCAGCAGACCCCCAUGAGCCCAGAUCCCUGAGACCUGGUGGCUGCCAUUAUGACAUUCCCCGACUGCAUCUUAGGACCCAAGUCUGACCCCCUGCAGGAUCUGCAGCUGUGUUACAGGAAAGGGGACCCGAUCCAGACCCCAAGGGAGGGUUCUUGAAUCUCGUGCAAGAAACAACUCGGGAUGCAGUUGCUGUGGUUCACACACCUCUGGCAGCUGGGCUCCUUGGGAUCUCCUGACAUUCUGUGCCCUCUGUGCCCUCCUCCCUCACUGCCAUCGCUGUCUUCCUGAGCC